UACGAAGGGUGCUAGCGUUGUUCGGAAUUACUGGGCGUAAAGCGCGCGUAGGCUGUUUAUCAAGUCAGAGGUGAAAUCCCUGGGCUCAACCCAGGAAUUGCCUUUGAAACUGAUAGACUAGAGUGUCGGAGGGGAUAGCGGAAUUGCUAAUGUAGAGGUGAAAUUCGUAGAUAUUAGCAGGAACACCGGUGGCGAAGGCGGCUAUCUGGACGACAACUGACGCUGAGGCGCGAAAGCGCGGGGAUCAAACAGG
Molecule: ribosomal RNA, 253 nt
Filed under: uncultured bacterium
Lineage: Bacteria
Description: partial 16S ribosomal RNA
Rfam family: Bacterial small subunit ribosomal RNA
Source: RNAcentral